Molecule: ribosomal RNA, 293 nt
Filed under: uncultured bacterium
Lineage: Bacteria
Description: partial 16S ribosomal RNA
Rfam family: Archaeal small subunit ribosomal RNA
Source: RNAcentral
GUGCCAGCAGCCGCGGUAAUACCGGCAGCCCGAGUGAUGGCCGAUGUUAUUGGGCCUAAAGCGUCCGUAGCCGGCCGGGCAAGUCCGUCGGGAAAUCCGCGCGCUCAACGCGCGGGCGUCCGGCGGAAACUGCUCGGCUUGGGACCGGAAGACCCGAGGGGUACGUCCGGGGUAGGAGUGAAAUCCCGUAAUCCCGCACGGACCACCGAUGGCGAAAGCACUUCGAGAAAACGGAUCCGACAGUGAGGGACGAAAGCCAGGGUCUCCAACCGGAUUAGAUACCCCGGUAGUCC